AGUGAACGCUGGCGGCGUGCUUAACACAUGCAAGUCGAACGAGAACGGAUUAUAGCUUGCUAUAAUUGUCAGCUAAGUGGCGCACGGGUGAGUAAUGUAUAGGUAAUAUGCCUCUUACUAAGGGAUAACAAAUGGAAACGUUUGCUAAUACCUUAUACUCCUUAUUAACAGAAGUUAAUAAGGGAAAGAUUUAUUGGUAAGAGAUUAGCCUGUAUUGUAUCAGUUAGUUGGUGGGGUAAUGGCUUACCAAGACUAUGACACAUAACUGGUUUGAGAGGAUGAUCAGUCACACUGGAACUGAGACACGGUCCAGACUCCUACGGGAGGCAGCAGUGGGGAAUAUUGCACAAUGGACGAAAGUCUGAUGCAGCAACGCCGCGUGGAGGAUGACACAUUUCGGUGCGUAAACUCCUUUUAUAUGAGAAGAUAAUGACGGUAUUAUAUGAAUAAGCAACCGGCUAAACUCCGUGCCAGCAG
RNAcentral lists this ribosomal RNA (477 nucleotides) under uncultured bacterium. RNAcentral describes it as "bacterial SSU rRNA". It matches the Rfam family "Bacterial small subunit ribosomal RNA", at positions 29 to 514 of the family's 1533-position model. The record is from RNAcentral.